GAUGAACGCUGGCGGCGUGCCUAAUACAUGCAAGUCGAGCGAACGGACGAGGAGCUUGCUCCUCUGACGUUAGCGGCGGACGGGUGAGUAACACGUGGAUAACCUACCUAUAAGACUGGGAUAACUUCGGGAAACCGGAGCUAAUACCGGAUAAUAUAUUGAACCGCAUGGUUCAAUAGUGAAAGACGGUUUUGCUGUCACUUAUAGAUGGAUCCGCGCCGCAUUAGCUAGUUGGUAAGGUAACGGCUUACCAAGGCAACGAUGCGUAGCCGACCUGAGAGGGUGGACGGCCACACUGGAACGGAGACAGGGCACAGACUACAACGGGAGGCAGAAGAAGGAAAUCUUCCACAAGGGGCAAAGGCCGGAGGGAGCAACGCGGCGUGAGGAAUAAAGGUCUUGGGAUCGAAAAACUCUUUUAUAAGGAAAAAAAAAAUGUGAAAGAAAAAAUGCACGUCUUGAGGGAACAUAAUAAGAAACACAGGGAAAACAACGGG
This 497-nucleotide ribosomal RNA is filed under the name uncultured bacterium. RNAcentral describes it as "partial 16S ribosomal RNA". It matches the Rfam family "Bacterial small subunit ribosomal RNA", at positions 28 to 507 of the family's 1533-position model. The record is from RNAcentral.